GACGAACGCUGGCGGCGUGCUUAACACAUGCAAGUCGAGCGGUAAGGCCCUUUCGGGGGUACGACGAGCGGCGAACGGGUGAGUAACACGUGGGUGACCUGCCCUCAGCUCUGGGAUAAGCCUGGGAAACCGGGUCUAAUACCGGAUAUGACUCCAUGUCGCAUGUUGUGGGGUGGAAAGCCUUGUGCGGCUGAGGAUGGGCCCGCGGCCUAUCAGCUUGUUGGUGGGGUGAGGCCUACCAAGGCGACGACGGGUAGCCGGCCUGAGAGGGCGACCAGCCACACUGGGACUGAGACACGGCCCAGACUCCUACGGGAGGCAGCAGUGAGGAAUCUUGCGCAAUGGGCGAAAGCCUGACGCAGCGACGCCGCGUGGAGGAUGAAGUC
RNAcentral lists this ribosomal RNA (386 nucleotides) under uncultured bacterium. Its description in RNAcentral is "bacterial SSU rRNA". It matches the Rfam family "Bacterial small subunit ribosomal RNA", at positions 28 to 415 of the family's 1533-position model. The record is from RNAcentral.